RNAcentral lists this ribosomal RNA (497 nucleotides) under uncultured bacterium. RNAcentral describes it as "partial 16S ribosomal RNA". It matches the Rfam family "Bacterial small subunit ribosomal RNA", at positions 28 to 507 of the family's 1533-position model. The record is from RNAcentral.
GAUGAACGCUGGCGGCGUGCCUAAUACAUGCAAGUCGAGCGAACAGAUGAGGAGCUUGCGCCUCUGACGUUAGCGGCGGACGGGUGAGUAACACGUGGAUAACCUACCUAUAAGACUGGGAUAACUUCGGGAAACCGGAGCUAAUACCGGAUAAUAUAUUGAACCGCAUGGUUCAAUAGUGAAAGACGGUUUUGCUGUCACUUAUAGAUGGAUCCGCGCCGCUUUAGCUAGGUGGUAAGGUAACGGCUUACCAAGGCGACGAUGCGUAGCCGACCGGAGAGGAGGAUCAGCCACCUGGGAACUGGGACACGGUCCAGAGUACUGAGGGAGGGAGCAGUGGGGAAUGUUGGACAAUGGGGGGAAGCCUGAUACAGCCAGACCGAGGGGGAGAAGAAGGCCUUCGGGGUGUAAAGCCCUGUUGUUGGGAAAGAAAAGCAGCAGGUGAAUACCCCGCUGUUGUGACGGUACCCAAAGAAGAAGCACCGGCUAACUUCGUG